AGCUCCAAUAGCGUAUAUUAAAGUUGUUGCGGUUAAAAAGCUCGUAGUUGGAUUUCUGGAAAGGACGACCGGUCCAUCCACUGGAUGAGCACAUGGUUCGGCUUGGCCAUUUUCUUGGAAAACGCUGCUGCCCUUCAUUGGGUGGGGUGGUAUCCAAGACUUUUACUUUGAGGAAAUUAGAGUGUUUCAAGCAGGCGGACGCCCUGAACAUACUAGCAUGGAAUAAUAAGAUAGGGCUACAUUUGCAUCUUGUUGGUUCUUGUGAGUGUAGCAAUGAUUAAUAGGGAUAGUCGGGGACAUUAGUAUUUAACUGUCAGAGGUGAAAUUCUUGGAUUUGUUAAAGACUGACUACUGCGAAAGCAUUUGUCAAGGAUGUUUUCA
This 381-nucleotide ribosomal RNA is filed under the name uncultured eukaryote. Its description in RNAcentral is "partial small subunit ribosomal RNA". It matches the Rfam family "Eukaryotic small subunit ribosomal RNA", at positions 587 to 972 of the family's 1831-position model. The record is from RNAcentral.